GGAAGCCGGUGCGAAUCCGGCGCGGCCCCGCCACUGUAACGGGCACGAUCGUAACGGCUCACGGCCACUGGGGGUGUUCACCCGGGAAGGCGAGCCGAUCGCCCGAAGCCAGGAGAC
Molecule: non-coding RNA, 117 nt
Filed under: Gemmatimonadota bacterium
Lineage: Bacteria; Pseudomonadati; Gemmatimonadota
Source: RNAcentral